RNAcentral lists this long non-coding RNA (303 nucleotides) under Nicotiana benthamiana. RNAcentral describes it as "long non-coding RNA (NBEN_LNC022317)". The record is from RNAcentral. Lineage: Eukaryota; Viridiplantae; Streptophyta; Magnoliopsida; Solanales; Solanaceae.
UACGGUUGUGCUCGGGGAAGGCAUGGUGCCUCUUGAAGUUCAGAUCCGGACAAAGGAGAUGCACUUGCAAGCUGAAUAUGGUUUUGCUGCUCAUUGGAGAUACAAAGAAGGCGCUUGCAAACACUCUUCUUUUGUAAAUCAGAUGGUAGAGUGGGCUCGUUGGGUUGUUACCUGGCAGUGUGAGACAAUGAACAGAGACCAAUCAUCGGUUGGCCACACUGAAUCUAUUCAGCCACCUUGCAAAUUCCCUGCUCAUUCUGAAGAUUGUCCAUUUUCUUGCAAACCUCAUUGUGGAACUGAUGG